RNAcentral lists this unclassified non-coding RNA (336 nucleotides) under soil metagenome. RNAcentral describes it as "partial contains 5.8S ribosomal RNA, internal transcribed spacer 2, and large subunit ribosomal RNA". The stretch from base 1 to 120 matches the Rfam family "5.8S ribosomal RNA", at positions 35 to 154 of the family's 154-position model. The record is from RNAcentral.
GAUGAAGAACGUAGCGAAAUGCGAUAAGUAAUGUGAAUUGCAGAAUUCAGUGAAUCAUCGAAUCUUUGAACGCACAUUGCGCCCGCCAGUAUUCUGGCGGGCAUGCCUGUUCGAGCGUCAUUUCAACCAUCAAGCCCCCGGCUUGUGUUGGGGACCUGCGGCUGCCGCAGGCCCUGAAAACCAGUGGCGGGCGCGCUAGUCACUCCGAGCGUAGUAAUACAUCUCGCUCAGGGCGUGCUGCGGGUUCCGGCCGUUAAAAAAGCCUUAUUUACCCAAGGUUGACCUCGGAUCAGGUAGGAAGACCCGCUGAACUUAAGCAUAUCAAUAAGCGGAGGA